UGAACAAGGCAAAGCCUGCACCAAGUAUGAGU
This 32-nucleotide non-coding RNA is filed under the name Homo sapiens (human). The record is from RNAcentral. Lineage: Eukaryota; Metazoa; Chordata; Mammalia; Primates; Hominidae.